Molecule: RNA transcript, 5403 nt
Organism: Odontomachus brunneus
Lineage: Eukaryota; Metazoa; Arthropoda; Insecta; Hymenoptera; Formicidae
Gene: Pex12
Gene name: peroxisome assembly protein 12
Exons: 7
Source: RefSeq, a predicted model, not a curated record
CAUACCAUUUGUAUCCGUCACUGAUCAUGACAAACAUGUUUGCAUGCAGAUCGGAAUAUCUUAUGAUAAGCACGAAGAUAUAUUUUAUUCUGUCAAAAGCAAAAUUGUUAGUAAAUAACACAUUUAGGACAAAAACGUGUAUUAAUAUCGUUUCAUGAAUAUUUAUACAGGUUAGUUUAAUUUCAAAACAAAGAAUGACCAGUAGAUUUCUACAUAAAUAGUAACAUGGCAGAAAAGGGUGCUUAUUUAACUGGAACUGUAUAUAAUAGGCCUACUCUUUUUGAAAUUCUUGCACAGAAAUCACUUGCAUCUACUCUUGAACCGGCUUUUAAAAAGGUUCUUUCGUUUCUUGUAUCUUUCAAUCCUGAAAGAUAUAGACAUGUUCUUCAAUGGGAAGAUGAAGGUUAUUUGUUAUUUAAUAUACUUCUUCAGAGAUAUUACCUAAGAAAAUAUUCUGCAUCCUUUUCUGAAACAUUUUAUGGUUUGAAGCGUAUUGUGGUAGUCAAUUCAGAAACUAGUCAGUCAGAACUUAAAGAAAAACUAUCACGCAAACAAAAAAUACUAUCAUUGAUAUCACUCGCAUUAUUACCAUAUCUGAAAACUAAACUUGCACAACUCAUCUUAAAAUAUCAAUUUGAAGAAGCAGAUGGUUGCGUAACACAAGGGAGAUUGCAGAGGCUUUUCCGUAAAUGUGUCAUUAGAGGACAUUUAAUUCUCUUUACAUUGUACAAAUCCUUAGAGAUCUACAGUUACAUACUUUAUAUAUCAGAAGAAUCGAUGUAUCCAUCAUCCUUACUAAGACUGUUACGUAUUACAUUGACAUACUCCGAGCCACAGUCCACUCAAACUAUCAUGGAUCUACUAAAUAAACUAAAACAUAAUUCGUUCACCUUCGACGAUGGAUGGGACAUGUUUCAGAGAACUGUUACUUCUUGCCUCGAGUUGGGGGCUUUCUUCCUACAGUUCCUUUCUUGGUGGAAUCAAGAGAAUUAUAUGACAGACCUUAUGAAUCUUCCAUCUCCACCACCUCCAGAUGUGUCAAAGACUGCAUUACGUCACAAAGGUACCUGUCCACUUUGCCACAUGCCUCAGCGUAUACAUACUGUCCUUAUGGUGUCUGGUUUUGUUUUUUGUUAUCAAUGUAUUUUGUCGGAAGUACGCGAAAACAAGAGAUGUCCAGUGACGCAUUAUCCUGCCACGGAGGACGAUUUAGUACGCCUAUACAUAGAUACAUAAACUCGUCUAGAUCGAUAUAUAUAUUUAGAUUGUUCUAUGUAUAAAAUUUAAACUCAGGGGUGUAAAUACAGCGCAAAUAUUACUUUUUAGCUAACAUCACACACUGUUCCAAGGUGUUCAAUUAUUUAUUUACUGUAUAUUAUACAGGUGCAUUGGUAAAUAAAGGAAGAACAUUUCUUAUUCUCAAAAUAACAAACUUUAUUCUUAUGACUUCUCAGCAUAUUAAAUGGCAAGGUUCUAAUCGCUUCUAAUCACUAAACUAAUGACUAUAAUAUAAUCUUUACAAACUUACAUUUCGAUAAAAUAUAGCAAUCUUCGAUAUAGCGAAUUUCAAAAUUAUAUCGCUAUCGUAGAGUUAUAGUAAAACAUACGCCGAGUCGGAAAACGGCAACAAAUAACAUUCCAAAGUGAUUUCGAUGUAUUAAUGCACGAUGCUUCGAAGAUUGAAUUGCUAAUGCGGUGAAAGUGCUCAGUGUGACUACCGGUUAUGUACAAAUAACGCUCUCUAACAAAAUAAAACCGUCUAAGACACAUUAUAACGUAAUAAGGCACAUUCUUCUUAAGAAUAUGUAAUUGAAUCUAAUUACUGCUUCGGAGAGAAUUUUAUUCCUUUGUUCGUGUGCGAGACAAAAUGUCAAUCAAUCUCUUCUAGUCUUUCUUUGCUUUUAUUUUGGUCAACCUUGGAAUCUUUACGAUUUACUUAGAUAUUUAUAAAUAGAACAUUCAAGAAUAUAAUAAAAAAUAUUUACCGUUUUUAUUGAUGGUCCAAUAUUUAGUUUCAAUAACGACACAAUGUCACUUUACAGUUAUUGUACAUAUAUGUAAUCAUACUGGAAACAGUCAUGCAUUGGGCAUCAAGUAUCAGUAUUAACUGCUAAUUGUAUCUAGAAUAUUGUGCGUCGUAAAAAGUGCCAAUAGACAUUAUCACUUUCUUUAUCUAUAAACUUCAAAUUAAAGAUAACGAAAAUACGUCCAAUGUGAAUUUUAAAUAUCAAUUAAUAGCUAAAAAUCGAAAAAGUUAGUCCGAAAUUCUAAUAUUCACAGGCACGAAAAUGAAUUAUCGAUGCUCAAGUUUAUGAUGAUGCAAGAUGAAUCACAGAUAAUGUUGUUAUAAUUUAACUCGUGAGAACGAAAUAAGGUGAGAGAGAUUUUACGAAGGAACUCUUAUAUGUGCACAUAUAAAUAAAAAUAUACUUUUCCAAUAAUUUUUUCCAUUGUCAUAAUGCGUAUUCUACGAUUCUCUUAAGUGUACAUGAGAAUUCUUCUAAACUGAAUUAUCGCAAGACGUAUAUCGAUAGGCGACAGAUUUAAACGCAUUACACAGAGCAUUUUCAAUUCUUUGGAAAAUAAAAGUAAAUAUGUUGCAGAGAAAAGUAGAAAAGUCACUAUGCGAUUACGAAGCAAUUGUAUUUUGCUGAACGCAACCAGGCUUGCAACAAUUUGAAAAACAUGCUACAUCUCUAUAAAAAUAGAAUUCUCUUCGAAGAUUUUAUAUCUUUUGGCAUAUUGCCAAAUAUAAUUUACUAAACAUGUUUGAUAAACGUGCACGAUAGAGAAACAUACUGAAAACAAUAUCAGAUAUAAAAUAUUCACUCGAAUUUAUAAGAAUACAUAUACAUAUUAAAACGGAUACGUAUCUGAAUGAAAAUAGCAUAUUUAUUUUGAUUUACUUCGUGUCAUUCUCAUAGACGAGUCGAAUGAUUACACACAUUUAACUGUUAGCAUGCAGAUUCAUCUAUCAUGCUGCAUCUUAUAACAAUGUGAAAUGUACAUAUUGUGUGUAUACACAAAAUGCUUCAUCAGUACCGGACUGAAUCUUAAUAGCAGAUUUUUCAACAAAGUCAUAGUUGAUUAUUCAAUAAUCAACGUUAAAUGUAUUAUAUUUAUAUUUUACAUAAAAUCUAAAAUUGAAAGAUAAAAUUUGGUCAAAAUGAAUUCGAUUUGUCGUCAAUAAUAUAAUUUCCAAUAUGUAGAAAGUAGAUUACCUCAUCUACUUUCUGAAACGUUUGUUAUUAGAAGAUAUUAAUUCUGCCAAAAGAUAUUAAUUCUCCUAAAAAACUUAAGACAUCUCGUUCGGUAGCAAUGAAACGUUCCAUGUAUAAAGCGUACGUUUGAGUAUUCUAUAACGUAUACGUACGUACGUAUCUAUACAUCAUUUUCUUAUAAUUUUCAAAUUCAAUUGAGAGAAUUUUACUAGUGCUUUACUCAGCAUGGGGAUAGAAGAGGAGCAUUUAAUCGACACUGCCGUGUUAAAGAAGUUCUUAAGGAAAAAUAUCGUACUUGUAUUAUAAUUCCUCAAAGAAGGCAACUCUAGCUUUAGUAGAGCCAGAUUUCACUUUCUUCAAUGUACUAUACUUGUUCUCACCGAGUCGAACCUGCUCUUCGUGCAGUUGAUCUAACUCGCACUGCUUCUCGCCGACCUUCAUAACUUCAAUUUCGGAACGUAAUUCCCGCAGUUGUUCCUGUAGAUGUUUGCUCUUCUCCCAAUAAUCAACUCUUUCCUUCUCGAUUUCCAGCGAGAGUUGAUCGACAUCUCCUUCAGCAAUGAGAUCAUAGGAACGCAGAUCAGGUAGGGGUUCCGUAUCGAGUUGAAUAUUCUGAAGAUCUGCUUGAAGGUCCGAUGGUAGAACUUGCGUCGAGGGAAACAAGUUCGACACAGGCUGCAUAGACAAGUUGAACAAAUAAUUCGUAAAUCAGCAAUGUGAUAUUUUACACCAAAUGUCAAAUAUACUAAUAGAUGUCCUAAUAUUCGCUAAACUUAAAUAUAUAUAAUUAAUUAAUAAUAUUAAUUAUUUUGGGAAAAAACAGACACACACAACACGAAACAAUAACUACUAACGUUCGACAUUGCGAUUAUAUUACAAACAAAAAACUAAAUGCAAAACAAAAGUAAAUUAAAUGCAAAAGCAGAAAUAAUUUUAUAUUAAAACAAGUGAACAGAUUUAUACUUACAGGUAUAGUAGCACUAUAAGCGUUUCUACUGAGGAACUCUAACAGCUUUUCCUUGGCUUCUUUUUCAGCGAUUCUUGCGCGUAACAAUUCGUCUUUCAAUUUUUCCGCCUCGGCAGCUCUACGCUCCGAUUCUUGCACCAGUCUUUCCGUUAAAAGUUCAGCUUCUCUAGUCUUUCGUUCCAAAUGGACCUUCUCUUCUUCAGUCUUCAUGUUAUUCAACCGUAUGCGAGUGAUUUCUUGCUCGGCUUCUGAUGCUUUUUGGCUUAAAAGCAUCGCUUCUUCUUCAGCUACGCGACUUUUCUCAGCUAAAAGAUCUGCUGUUUCUUCAGAUCUCCUCUAAAAACAGGAGAUCAAUUGCAAUCUAAAUAUAUAAUGUAUAAAUAUAACCAAGUAUAUUAAAUUAUACACUUAUAAUUAAUACAUAGACUGGCACACAAUUGAGCCUUAAUAUCUAGUGACACAAUAGAACUCGCAUCAUAUUUAUAUAACUGUAGAUCUCAUAACCGUUAAUUAUCAAGAGAUGAUAAUUAUAAAAAUAUACAUGAAAUUUUUGCAAGAUACUUGUAAUAACACCUAAAAACAAGCUACAAAUACGAUACAACAAUCUAGGAUUAUUUAAGAUAACCUUGAAAAUGUCUAUUUACGAUUUAAAUAUUAUCAGCAUAGAUACUAUCGGUUUCGAGUGACUUGAAUUGAUUAAAAAACUUCUUUACAUCUUAUGCGCCUUACAAUUAUAGAAAUUUUACGACAAAGUGUCAAGAUAACAGAAUGUCAAGACAACAGACAAAGUGUCAAGAUAACAGAAACAGAGUUAGAUUUUUUAAAAAAUCUGUCACUGCAGACUUCAAAUCAUAUUGUACGAUACUGACGCAGAUGAUUAAAAAGUCUUAGUUACUAUUGUGCUAAUAAAUGUUAAGACUAUUAUGUCAGUCCACGAAUAUUAUUUUUCGUUUGUGAUAUCUUACAAGAGCUUCGUUCGCAAGUCGAAUCUCCUCCUGGUACUGCAAAAGUCGCUGUUCCAUUGCAGCUUUUUCUCUCUCAGCCGCUUCCCUUAACUGUUUCUCUCGUGCUAGUUUACUUCUUUCCACUUGCCUCCUAAUAACAACACAAACAUUUUAAAACAACAUCUGUGUGAAAAAAAAUCAAUUUAUGAUCAAACUACAUCAAAUAUCAAGUCGGAUAGUGCAUAACUUAUAUCUUAUCUACAAAGUAUAU